UACAGAGGUCUCAAGCGUUGUUCGGAUUCAUUGGGCGUAAAGGGUGUGUAGGUGGCGCGCUAAGUCGGGUGUGAAAUUUCGGAGCUUAACUCCGAAACUGCAUUCGAUACUGGCGUGCUUGAGGACUGGAGAGGAGACUGGAAUUCAUGGUGUAGCAGUGAAAUGCGUAGAGAUCAUGAGGAAGACCAGCGGCGAAGGCGGGUCUCUGGACAGUUCCUGACACUGAGACACGAAGGCCAGGGGAGCAAACGGG
This 253-nucleotide ribosomal RNA is filed under the name uncultured bacterium. RNAcentral describes it as "partial 16S ribosomal RNA". It matches the Rfam family "Bacterial small subunit ribosomal RNA", at positions 524 to 776 of the family's 1533-position model. The record is from RNAcentral.